UUACACUAGUCUUAAAUUGUGGAAUAUUCUCUUAUCAUAUAAAUUAUCAAUGUGAUAACGAAACAGUUGAGUAAUGAUGUUCCGUCAUGUAGUCGUACGGAACAGGAUAAUCAAAGAUGAGAGGAACCAUAAUAAUGGUUAAAUAGAAGUAAAUCGAUAAACGGUCAUUUAGACUAAACGGGUCAAAAGGUGAAAAUAUCACCCUUUGACAAUAUCGACUAAUGAAUUUGUCGAGUGUAUGAUUACAGGAAUACAUAUCAAAUGGAAAUUUGCAUCGCUAUUAGUUAGCGUUUAUUAAGCAAAGCAUUAAAUGGGUCAAUAUGUUGAUCCGAGCCAGGUACUUUUGGAUGCCGGAAGACGAUCAAGCUCAACGAGGAACCGAACACGAUAAAGAUACACGCUUCCGCACUUUGCAUCGUCAUUAAUUUUUAAACGACGAAUUUGAUCACGUUAUGUCAAAUGACUUAUGAUUUGUAAAAGUUUUAAUAAACCCGUAUUUCCGACGUAUAUGUAAUCUAAAUUACAUGGUUGCUUUUCGUA
Molecule: long non-coding RNA, 540 nt
Organism: Helianthus annuus (common sunflower)
Lineage: Eukaryota; Viridiplantae; Streptophyta; Magnoliopsida; Asterales; Asteraceae
Exons: 2
Source: RefSeq, a predicted model, not a curated record